RNAcentral lists this ribosomal RNA (253 nucleotides) under uncultured bacterium. RNAcentral describes it as "partial 16S ribosomal RNA". It matches the Rfam family "Bacterial small subunit ribosomal RNA", at positions 524 to 776 of the family's 1533-position model. The record is from RNAcentral.
GACAGAGGUGCCGAGCGUUAGGCGGAAUCACUGGGCUUAAAGCGUGUGUAGGCGGACCGUUAAGUGUCUUGUGAAAUCCCCCGGCUCAACCGGGGAACGGCUGGGCAUACUGGCGGUCUUGAGAGACCUAGGGGCGAGCGGAACAGGCGGUGGAGCGGUGAAAUGCGUAGAUAUCGCCUGGAACGCCGACGGUGAAAACAGCCCGCUGGGGGUCUUCUGACGCUGAGACACGAAAGCCAAGGGAGCGAACGGG